AUGGCGACCGGCGCACGGGUGAGUAACACGUAUCCAACCUGCCGAUAACUCGGGGAUAGCCUUUCGAGAGAAAGAUUAAUACCCGAUGGUAUAAUCAGACCGCAUGGUUUGAUUAUUAAAGAAUUUCGGUUAUCGAUGGGGAUGCGUUCCAUUAGGCAGUUGGUGAGGUAACGGCUCACCAAACCUUCGAUGGAUAGGGGUUCUGAGAGGAAGGUCCCCCACAUUGGAACUGAGACACGGUCCAA
Molecule: ribosomal RNA, 245 nt
Filed under: uncultured bacterium
Lineage: Bacteria
Description: partial 16S ribosomal RNA
Rfam family: Bacterial small subunit ribosomal RNA
Source: RNAcentral